AAAUAACUACGAGUAAAAACUUAAAAUUUAAAAGACUUGACGGUACUUCACAUCAACCUAGAGGAGCCUGUCCAUAACCGAUAAUCCACGAUUAACCCAACCCCCUCUAGCCCACAGUCUAUAUACCGCCGUCGCCAGCCUACCUUGUGAAAGAAAGAAAGUAAACCAAAUAAUUCUACAUUAACACGACAGGUCGAGGUGUAACUAAUGAAGGGGAACAGAUGGGCUACAUUUUCUUAAAAGAACAUACGAAUGCAAUUACGAAAAGUAAUUACUGAAGGAGGAUUUAGCAGUAAGACAAGAACAAAAUACUUAACUGAAUCAUGCAAUGAAGUGCGU
RNAcentral lists this ribosomal RNA (339 nucleotides) under Aplopeltura boa. RNAcentral's name for it is "partial 12S ribosomal RNA". Lineage: Eukaryota; Metazoa; Chordata; Lepidosauria; Squamata; Pareidae. The record is from RNAcentral.